RNAcentral lists this long non-coding RNA (387 nucleotides) under Ananas comosus (pineapple). Its description in RNAcentral is "long non-coding RNA (ACOM_LNC008642)". The record is from RNAcentral. Lineage: Eukaryota; Viridiplantae; Streptophyta; Magnoliopsida; Poales; Bromeliaceae.
UGAUGUUAUUUUCCGAUAUCAGUCGAGCUAGAGUAUUUUUAAAAGUAUCAAGUUCUUGAUACAGAUACUUUUUUAUUUUAUCGACGAAGGGAUGUUUGAAUCGAUAAUCGAUAUUGUUAAACAUUAUCCGUAAUGUAUAAGUUAUUACGAAUUAAAUUUCAUAAUUUUGUCAUAUUAUUUAUUUAUCAAAUAAUCAAGUAGUCUCAAAUACAUCUUAUAUUUAUUGUUAAAUAUUGCCCAUGUACGUUUUAGAAAACGAUGAGAAAAUUUCAAAAGUCUGGUACUAAAAAUAUUUUAAUUUAACUUUACAAUAUUUAAAAGACCUGCAUAUAAAAAAUCAAAAAUUUCAUAUAAAUUUUUUUAUAACUAAAUAAUAUUUUUUUUUUC